Canis lupus familiaris (dog) is the source of this 73-nucleotide non-coding RNA. Lineage: Eukaryota; Metazoa; Chordata; Mammalia; Carnivora; Canidae. The record is from Rfam.
ACCUGGCUGGCUCAGUUGGUAGAGCAUAAGACUCUUAAUCUCAGGGUCAUGAAUUCAAGUCCCAUGUUGGAUG